RNAcentral lists this long non-coding RNA (1886 nucleotides) under Homo sapiens (human). RNAcentral's name for it is "HSALNT0324575". Lineage: Eukaryota; Metazoa; Chordata; Mammalia; Primates; Hominidae. The record is from RNAcentral.
GUGGGGAUGUGUUUCCCAUGGGACAAGACAGGCGUGAGCUCCUGCAAAGGGGCCCAGAAUGGCGGGGAAGCGUUUCCUGUGGGACAAGACAGGCGUGAGCUCCUGCAAAGGGGCCCAGAAUGGCGGGGAAGCGUUUCCCGUGGGACAAGACAGGCGUGAGCUCCUGCAAUGGGGCCCAGAAUGGCGGGGGAGCGUUUCCCGUGGGACAAGACAGGCGUGAGCUCCUGCAAAGGGGCCCAGAAUCGUGGGGAAGCGUUUCCUGUGGGACAAGACAGGCGUGAGCUCCUGCAAAGGGGCCCAGAAUGGUGGGGAAGCAGAACUUCUGCCUCCAACUCACUUUCUCACCGUGCAACUGCGGAUCCAGAGGAAUCUCUGCAUUUGGGACAUACAUGAUCAGUCUUGGGGAAGGAAGCAGAAGCAAUGGUGGAAUAGGACAAAGAUAAAGGAAAGAGGUGGAAAGUGAUGAACACAGACCGCGAUGACCCGGUGUGGGGUGAUAUGGGCGAGGACAGCAUCCAGCGAAGAGGUCCUGGCUCCUGACUGCAAUUUGGUGGCUCUACUGUACCCUGUGCAACGGGUAUAGGUCUGCCUGGAUGAUCAAAACAGAUGGGAAGGAGCCAUGGUGGGGCAAUGAUCCUGUUCUGUUGCCUCCUGGAGAUUCAAGCAUUAUAUAUGGAGAGCUAUCAUCUCUACCCCUCCUCCCGGUUUACUCUCAUGAAGACAGAAUCAGAGAGGCUCAGCAAAUGCCAGAACUCAAAUUCAAGCGCAACUCUGCCUGAUGGAAACUCAGGUGAUUUCCACUCUGCCUCCACCUGCAUUCCUCAGCACCCUGCAGUUGGUCCCCAGACUCUAUGCUCCAUGCUGCUUGUGUUUGUUGGUUGGCUGGUUUCGUGUUCAUGUGUUCUGGCUUCUUCAUUUUGGGUCUUUACAUCUUUACAUCUCUAUAGCAGUUCUUCCCAUGUUGUGUAGCAGUUGUCUCUACGUGACAGUCUGUCUUGUGAGGUCGAGUUCCCUGAAGGCAGCAAGCAUGUAAUUGGUAAAUUCUCAUCAGUUAGCCAUGUCUGGAACAUGGUAGGUAUUCAAUAAAGGUUUUUGCUCAUUUAAUCGACUGUUCAUUAGCAUUUACUGAACCUCUACUGUGUGUCCAACACCGUAGCAGGCACUGAGGAUGGAGCGGUGGAGAAAAACAGGCAACACACUCUGCACUCCAUCUAGUGUGCAGAAAACAUGCAAAUAGUCAUAUACACCAAAACACUUCACACAACACAGACACUGCUGUAACAUGCAAAUAGUCACAUAAAACACUUCACACAGCAGACUGACACACUGCUGUAACAUGCAAAUAGUCAUAUACACAUGAAAACACUUCACACAGCACCCUGACACCCUGCUAUAACAUGCAAAUAGUCAUAUACACAUGAAAGCACCCUGACACCCUGCUAUAACAUGCAAAUAGUCAUAUACACAUGAAAACACUUCACACAGCACCCUGACACCCUGCUAUAACAUGCAAAUAGUCAUAUACACAUGAAAACACUUCACACAGCACAGCGACACAUGGCUAUAACACGCAAAUAGUCAUAUACACGUGAAAACACUUCACACAGCACACUGACACGCUGCUAUAACAAAUAUAUACACAAAAACACUUCACACAGCACACUGACACGCUAUUACACGUAGAUAGAUACACGAAAACACUUCACACAGCACACUGACACACUGCUGUAACAUGCAAGUAGUCAUAUACACAAAAACACUUCACACAGCACACCGACACACGGCUAUGUCAGAAAGGCGUGCAGUACUCUGUGAGUGUAGGAUGGUGUCGAGACUCAGGAAAGAGUUGUGCAGAAAAGGGUAUGUGAGUGAGGGGUCAAGGCCGA